RNAcentral lists this ribosomal RNA (477 nucleotides) under Candidatus Scalindua brodae. Its description in RNAcentral is "bacterial SSU rRNA". It matches the Rfam family "Bacterial small subunit ribosomal RNA", at positions 365 to 832 of the family's 1533-position model. The record is from RNAcentral. Lineage: Bacteria; Pseudomonadati; Planctomycetota; Candidatus Brocadiia; Candidatus Brocadiales; Candidatus Scalinduaceae. RNAcentral also lists the same sequence under 1 other name.
UUCGCAAUGCCCGAAAGGGUGACGAAGCGACGCCGCGUGGGUGAGGAAGGCCUUCGGGUUGUAAAGCCCUGUCAGGAGUUAAGAAAUGUAAGUGUGCUAAUAUCGCAUUUACUUGACGAAGGCUCCAAAGGGAGUCACGGCUAACUCUGUGCCAGCAGCCGCGGUAAUACAGAGGUGGCAAGCGUUGUUCGGAAUUAUUGGGCGUAAAGAGCACGUAGGUGGGUUUGUAAGUCAGAUGUGAAAGCCUCCUGUUCAACGGGAGAAUUGCAUCUGAAACUACUGAUCUUGAGUAUAGGAGGGGAGAAUGGAACUUCUGGUGGAGCGGUGAAAUGCGUAGAUAUCAGAAGGAACGCCGGCGGCGAAAGCGAUUCUCUGGCCUAUUACUGACACUCAGUGUGCGAAAGCUAGGGGAGCAAACGGGAUUAGAUACCCCGGUAGUCCUAGCCGUAAACGAUGGGCACUAAGUAGAGGGGUUUU